UACUCUUGGCGAUGGAUCACUCAGCUUGUGCGUCGAUGAAGAACGCAGCUAGCUGCGAGAAGUAAUGUAAAUUGCAGGACACAGUGAUCAUUGACACUUCGAACGCACUUUGCGGCCCUGGGUCCCUCCCGGGGCUAUGCCUGCCUGAGGAUCA
Molecule: ribosomal RNA, 154 nt
Organism: Polypterus senegalus (gray bichir)
Lineage: Eukaryota; Metazoa; Chordata; Cladistia; Polypteriformes; Polypteridae
Product: 5.8S ribosomal RNA
Exons: 1
Source: RefSeq, a predicted model, not a curated record